GACCCGAACUUGGGUGAUCUAUCCAUGACCAAGAUGAAGCUUGGGUGAAACUAAGUGGAGGUCUGAACCGACUGAUGUUGAAAAAUCAGCGGAUGAGUCGUGGUUAGGGGUGAAAUUCCACUUGAACCCAGAGCUAGCUGG
This is a non-coding RNA of Picea glauca (white spruce), 141 nucleotides long. NCBI's taxonomy places the organism in Eukaryota, Viridiplantae, Streptophyta, Pinopsida, Pinales, Pinaceae. The record is from Rfam.